AGAAACACUCACCCACUAAGACCAUUUCUUCUGGCGUGUGCGCUUCAGUCAGCGGGAGUCACAGCGACACUUAGCGGCUCGGAGUGACAAUUAACAUCCCAUCAACAGGGAAUCCAGCACAGAAGUAGUCCAGAUGUUCUACAAUUUACAAGAUGCUGUCAGCUUGAAGUAGUCCACUGCAUCGCUAUCAGAAGGUAUUCACACAGCAUUGUAGACAUUGCAUAAAACCAUG
This is a long non-coding RNA of Silurus meridionalis, 232 nucleotides long. RefSeq lists it as uncharacterized. NCBI's taxonomy places the organism in Eukaryota, Metazoa, Chordata, Actinopteri, Siluriformes, Siluridae. The record is from RefSeq and is a predicted model, not a curated record. The transcript is spliced from 2 exons.